Molecule: long non-coding RNA, 3591 nt
Filed under: Capra hircus (goat)
Lineage: Eukaryota; Metazoa; Chordata; Mammalia; Artiodactyla; Bovidae
Description: lncRNA (ENSCHIG00010014057.1)
Source: RNAcentral
UCUGCGGCCAGAGACCAGAGGGAGGCCGGAGGCCCAGGACACCCGCUCCUCCUGGUCCCUGGUCCAGCACGGCCCUGUGGGGACCCAGAGGCGGAGGAGCCCGGGGCACAUGGGGGUUGGGGGGCCACAGAGCGGCUUGUCUGAGUGGGCUGAUUCCACAGGCACAGCUUGAGAAAUAAACAGGACUCUAAAGUGCAAAGGAGACCACUGAGCAUUACACAGACAGCAUCUCCUGGACACCUGUGUCGACCGGCGCUGUGAGUAUCAAGUAAGAAUUUAGAAAAGCCUGGCCUUUAGCUGCCGCCUUGUGCUGGGGCUGGGGGUGGCACUGUCCACGGGGCAGGCAGCCCCCAAAUCGCCCUUGAGCUGGGAUGACUGCCCAGGAUGCUCGGGCCUGGGCAGGCGUAUGGGCCUGUCACUGGAGGCAUUCCAGCCGGGCAGGGGUCCAGGCCUCUGCUGGCUCCGCCGCCUGCCCUGAAGGCCACUCCCUGCAGAGCCUGGCCUCCAGCCCCACACAUGCCGAGGGAAGCACCUCUGGGUUCGGUUUCCAGGCAGCGGGGCGCUGGGCCCUGCUCCUCAGAGACAGUGGCUCAUCCAGGAGUGUGGGGGGGGAUGCUCAGCGUGACCGGGGGUGGCUGAGGGGGAUCGGCCACCUGCAGAAGACCCGGGACCUCUCCUGUGCAGUGUCACCACUCUGCCACUCCACGCCAGCCAAGUGUCUCCUGGCCUCCCCACCCCCAGCUGCUGGGCACCGCAGGCACCUCAGACAUGAUGCAGUGGCUGCCUCGGGAGCCCCAGGCCGGCCUGAGCACCGCAAGGUGAGUGCCGUGGGGGAGGUGUCGUGGUCAGAGAGGCCCUGGAGUGGCCGUCACCGGCAGGAGGGCACCAUUAAGCUCGGGCCAGGUGAAGCGUCCCAGCAACAGGCAAGGCAGGGCCAGGGCUGGGCCUGGAGGGGCGCUUGGAUGGUGGGUCUGCAGUCCGAAGGGACAGUAGGGGAGGACAGUUCCUGCUGACUUGAGGCAGCUUGACCCAGAGCCUGGAGCCAGUGGGGGCUUCUGGACGGAAGGGAGUGUGUGGUGAGGAAGGGGGACCUUUGGAGAGGAAGUAGGCCACGUGACAGGUAGAAGGGACCAGUGUGGUGUGACGGGCCCUGGGGGCUUCAGCCAGCCUGAAGGUGGACAGGGUGCCUGGACACGGAGCAGAGUGGCCAGGUGGGGAUGUGGCACUCACAGGUCAGACAGAGGAGACCCUGCUGCCCACUGCCCCACACCCAGCCUGCCAAGGUGGAGGGCCCCCAAGACAGCCUGAUGGCCACAGUCGCAGCCAUGCGCCCCCAGGGUGCGAGUCCUCUCCUGGGGGGAUAUCUGGUUUUUACCUUCUGCUGGCUGAACCAAUAGGCGGUUCAUUCCCCCCAUCUUUAUCAAGAAAAAGCUUCGCCCUUAAAAAAAAAAGGAAAUAACAAAAAGCAGAANNNNNNNNNNNNNNNNNNNNNNNNNNNNNNNNNNNNNNNNNNNNNNNNNNNNNNNNNNNNNNNNNNNNNNNNNNNNNNNNNNNNNNNNNNNNNNNNNNNAAAAAGCUUCGCCCUUAAAAAAAAAAGGAAAUAACAAAAAGCAGAACUAAAUUUUCCAGAGGCCAAGAGGAUUUAAAAAAAAAUCUGAACACUCUGUACAGUUUAAUUAAAUACUUUUAAUGCCAAUUUCCAAUUGUCCUAUGUCUCAUCUCUCCAACAUUCCUUUCUAGCGAUGUGAAUAUAUUACGGCCUCAUUGUUUCUAACGCUAUUUUCUCAUCUCCUAUCACUCCAUGAUCUGUUCUUCAUUUCCCGGCUGUGGGGCGAAGCUGUCCCCCACGCUGUGCAGUCCCCCCUCUGGCUGGAGAGCUCAGAGUCAAUACCAUCAAACGCCACGCACACAGUCAGUGAGUAUCAUCAGCUCAGGGGACUUGGAGCCCUUGAGGACAAGGCUCUCAGAGGUGCUGGAGGGAGCUGGAUGUGGCGGGAGGAGGUCUCCUUCUGAGACCUUGAGGUGGUCGUUGCCUGUCCAGUGUCUGUGCAGCCUCACCUAUCUAUAAAUGGGCCACGGGGCUCCUGAAGGCUACAGGCUUUGUCAGCUUAGAGAUGCUGUCUUUAAAAAAUAAUGCCUACUUAAAAAAAAUCCACGCCCUAUCCCUUCUGUAGACGUCUGAAGGACAGAGUGUGCAGACGAAGGUGACGGUCUCUCACAUUAAAAUCCCCUGCUUUGUGGGGCCCUGUGGGAACUCCUGCCCUGCCCUUGCUCACCCCCCUCCCCCAUGUCACAGCAGGGCUGUCUCUGGUUCUUCCUGCUCAGCACUCUCUGCCUGCCACAGGGCCUUUGCACAGUCUGCUCUUGCAGCUGGGAAGAUCACCCCCGACCCCACCCAUUCCAGCUGCUUUCUUGUCCUCAGAUGUAUCUUCUGCCCCCUACUUGCCCCCCACAGCACUUAACAUAGCCUGUAACGGUUCGCUUCUUCUAUCCACCAGUUUCUUUAUGGCUGCGUCCCCGCUGGAAUGAAGCUCCAAGGGACAAGGAUAAGGCCUAGACUGGUCACCGCCACUGCCUCCCUCGUUCCACACUGUGGGCCUUCCACCGACUUUUGUCCAGCAAAUCACUCACAGUUCCCCAGCCAGAGCCAGUCUUCAGCUUCACCUUGAGCUUUGAUGAUCCGGCCAGUGUGAAAGGAUCGGGAGGUCCAGGUGACCCCUGCCCAGGAUGUUGCUGAGGCUUGUGGGUCUGCCCCACCCUUGCAAGCUCCCCUCAGCGCUCUCCCAGGCCCCCUCCUAGGUGACUGGGGCACUAAUUGCUCCUUGAGGGCCUUAAUUACUGGCCAUGGCCCUCCACCGCUAAGUAGCAGCAUUAAAAUAGAGUAAAUGUUUUCAUUUUCUUGAAAAGUUCACAUAUACAAGAGGAAGUGCUGCUGAGCAGGGACGGGCUGCGCUGGACACCCCCUGGGCCUCGCCUGGGAACUGCCAUGGUCCUGCCUUCCUGCGUCUUCCUUCCCCCAAGGCCCAGAGGUGGAGCAAGGCGCAGGGCCUCCCGGGCUUUCCCUACCCCCAGCACGGCCACCCCAUUCUGGUUGCGUCUCUGCAGUGCCAUUGCGCAGCGCAGGUGGGGAAGCCCUGGUUGAGUGACCUUGCCAGGGCCUCUCCAGAUCUGGGGGUCCCCACGUGGGUCCUCUCACCCACUCGGGCGACUGCUGAGGCCGGAGGCCCCUGGAGCCGCCCACGUGGACCAGCCACCCCGCUCUUUGUCCAGCGUUGAGUGGGCUUGGAAGAAGGGAGGUCGCACUCGGAGCCACCAGACUGGUGGUCGUGGAAAAGUGAAAAGCUUGUGAGGUUUUCAGUGGCCAAGGGGUCCGAGUGGGACCCCGGAGCACAGGGGGCGGUGUGUCUCAGUAUGAGGCUGGGGUGCUGCAGGAGGGCCUGGGCGCUUCCCCGAGGUCCCACGCGGCUCGCUUGGUCCAGGAGGAGGCUGGGCGAGGGACAAGUUCGCAGAAAGCCGUAGGUGCGCUGUGCGCGCGCGCGCGUGUGUGUGUGUGUGUGUGUGCGGGGGUGCGGAUGCACGCGCACCCAGAAU